RNAcentral lists this long non-coding RNA (480 nucleotides) under Citrus sinensis (sweet orange). Its description in RNAcentral is "long non-coding RNA (CSIN_LNC005212)". Lineage: Eukaryota; Viridiplantae; Streptophyta; Magnoliopsida; Sapindales; Rutaceae. The record is from RNAcentral.
ACUUAUAUCCUAACCUAUACAGUCUAUUGAAUGGAGAAGCUGCUGGUGUGAUAACGCAAUUAUACUACUCAUAUUCAAAGAGUGAAAGGCAGUCAUCCUUCUUAAUUUAGCUUCUAGAUUUAUUAAAUUUAGCCACAAGUAGUAGGCAUUUGAUUGGAUGGUAGAAAUUUUUAUGUAUUGAAUUUGGAUUAUUUAGUUAUGAGAGUAGGAUAUCUCAUAUUUUUGUUAUUGAAGUUUUGGAAUUUGUAAUAUAUACUAAUAAUAUUUAAAUGUGAAAUGAAAGAUUUUGUGAUAUAAAUCAAUUUCUUUUUGUUAUUUUGUGGUGCCUUUUAAUUUUACCAAUAAAUCAAUAGGCAAUGAUCCAAUUCAAUUUUUUAUUUUUUUAAAAUAAAUUAACUAGUGAUACCACGGUAACAGUAAUCAUAGACACUAAUAAAAUAUCAAUAACUACUAACACUAUGGUGUCAUAAUAUCGGUGAU